RNAcentral lists this long non-coding RNA (212 nucleotides) under Elaeis guineensis (African oil palm). RNAcentral describes it as "long non-coding RNA (EGUI_LNC080404)". The record is from RNAcentral. Lineage: Eukaryota; Viridiplantae; Streptophyta; Magnoliopsida; Arecales; Arecaceae.
CACUAAGACUAUUUUGAUCAAAGUUUUGCUGAAUUAAAAUACAAUGAUGCAUCAUCUCUAAUUUUACUUAGAGCGGUCAAUCGCAUCUUGACUCACACUCAGACUUUACAAGUACUUGAUUAUAUCCAGAAACCUUCCAUCAUCGAAUUAAAAAUUUGGAUAGUCUGACACCAAAGCAUAGUGAGUUGCUUGCAAGUCAUCGAGACAGCCUC